AUACGGAGGGGGCAAGCGUUGUUCGGAAUUACUGGGCGUAAAGAGUACGUAGGCGGAUCGUUAAGUUAGAGGUGAAAUCCCAGGGCUCAACCCUGGAACUGCCUUUAAUACUGGCGAUCUAGAGAUCGAGAGAGGUGAGUGGAAUUUCCAGUGUAGAGGUGAAAUUCGUAGAUAUUGGAAAGAACACCAGUGGCGAAGGCGGCUCACUGGCUCGAUCCUGACGCUGAGGUACGAAAGCGUGGGGAGCAAACAGGAUUAGAUACCCUUGUAGUCC
Molecule: ribosomal RNA, 274 nt
Filed under: uncultured bacterium
Lineage: Bacteria
Description: partial 16S ribosomal RNA
Rfam family: Bacterial small subunit ribosomal RNA
Source: RNAcentral